GAUGAACGCUGGCGGCGUGCCUAAUACAUGCAAGUCGAGCGAACAGACGAGGAGCUUGCUCCUCUGACGUUAGCGGCGGACGGGUGAGUAACACGUGGAUAACCUACCUAUAAGACUGGGAUAACUUCGGGAAACCGGAGCUAAUACCGGAUAAUAUAUUGAACCGCAUGGUUCAAUAGUGAAAGACGGUUUUGCUGUCACUUAUAGAUGGAUCCGCGCCGCAUUAGCUAGUUAGUAAGGUAACGGCUUACCAAGGCAACGAUGCGUAGCCGACCUGAGAGGGUGAUCGGCCACACUGGAACUGAGAAACGGUCCAGACUCCUACGGGAGGCAGCAGUAGGGAAUCUUCCGCAAUGGGCGAAAGCCUGACGGAGCAACGCCGCGUGAGUGAUGAAGGUCUUCGGAUCGUAAAACUCUGUUAUUAGGGAAGAACAAAUGUGUAAGUAACUAUGCACGUCUUGACGGUACCUAAUCAGAAAGCCACGGCUAACUACGUG
This 497-nucleotide ribosomal RNA is filed under the name uncultured bacterium. RNAcentral describes it as "partial 16S ribosomal RNA". It matches the Rfam family "Bacterial small subunit ribosomal RNA", at positions 28 to 507 of the family's 1533-position model. The record is from RNAcentral.